CUAUCUGCGAGUGUCUGGAGUUUUGAUUCUUGGAAUACCUGGUUUUAGACCUGGAUUCUUUCAUCAGAUGACAUCUGGAAUGUUGAAUUUUUUAAAGAGCUGAAUCCUCUGGAGAUUAAGUAGUAGAUAUAAGGCUUUCAGGUUUAGGAGUCAGAAGAUAUGAUGCAGAGCGCAUCUAAGGUUUUUUUCUCAGCAAUAUUUUUCCAUUGCGACUUUUCAUUAGGUGCCCUGAACCAGCCGCAGAAGGGCAGUGUGACAUCCCGUGAGGUGUCUAGGAAUACUAGUUCCUAGUCGUGUUUCCUGACCUCUGGGGAGAGGGUCCACCAAAGGUCCCUCUGCACCGGGACCGAAUUUCAGUCACUGAUUUACAUAUCCUGGAAAGUGCUUCUGAACCCCUAUGAUGAUCACAAAGCCCACACCAGUGUCUUGGACUCUCUCUGAAUAUUCAUGUCAUCUACUUGGCCCCCAGUUCUCGCAUCCUCUAAGAUGUUCAUUCCUGAACGGAAGAUGCUUUAAAAAAUCGUGGCCUUGGGCAUUCGUCUCCCAAAGGUGCUCUUUGACCUGCAGUGACCCUGACACGCACGGUGCGGCUGUGCCCCGGGCAUGGUGGCCCAGGAGGUGCCCAGGUUUGGUCCCUUCCACACUGGCCUGCUCCAGUUUGGUGAGGGAUGGCUCCGAACCCAGCACGACUUUGUGGUUCACAGACCAGAGGGGCAUUAGUUCUUGGGCGCCAGUGAGAAGACAGAUCUGACACUCACUGCAAACCUGGAUAUUUUUAAUUAAUUUGUAAAUUUUUGGCUGCCCUGGGUCUUUGUUGCUGCAUGCGGGCUUUCUCUGGUUGCAGAGCAGGGGGUUGCCGCACUGGGGCUUCUCACUGCGGGGGCUUCUUUAGUUUCGGGGCACAGGUUCUAGGUGCAUGGACUUCAAUAGUUGCAGCAUGCGGGCUCAGUAGUUGUAGCUCUCAGGCUUAGCUGUUCCGAGGCCUGUGGAAUCUUCCCAGACCAGGGAUCGAAAACAUGUUCCCUGCAUUGGUGGGCAGAUUCUUAUCCACUGUGCCACCAGGGAAAUCCCAACAAAUUUGGGUAUUUGGAUGUCAGAAAAAUUUUCUAUGUUAACUAGAUUUUGUAACAUGAUAUGGAGAGCAUAGUUGAGAUUAAAGCAGUGUUUCUUCAAGUGCUGGCUUUCGGCCUGCCCUAGAACGAAUGCUAUCUAUUUACCCCUGAUUUUUGAGGUCGAUGCAGGACAGAAAUAUCCACAUGCUGGGACCUGUUUACCAAGAAACCAAUGGUGGCUGGGAGCAAACCCUCGUCUUCAAAUAAGAAAAAUGACAAAUGGUUGUCAGGUGGUGUGGGUGUGUGUGUGCAAAUAAGUGUGUGACUUCACAGCCAACUUCUAUUACUUCUUGGCUGGCUGUGGAGGAUAGAUUUGAUUGCUGACAUUAAUUGAGAAAAAAUAAAUCAGCUUUUGCUCACAAGUCUGAUGACAUACAUGUGUCUUUAAGAGCUCAAUUCUCUGCUCUUUUGUGGUUUGGGGGUUUUUUCUUGGGCAGCUCCUGAGGGUCUGAAAUAAGGUGGGAGAACACCUUGGUUUCUGUAGGUACUCAGAACCAGUAGUCACCCAUGACUUGACCAGACCCACUAGGCUAGAAUUUUAGACUAAGAAGGGAUCCCAGAGAUCAUUCUAGCCCAAGCUUCUUGUUUUACAGCCCAGAGGGUCUCCCAUCAGAUAAGUAGCAGAGCAGAUCUAGCAUCUGGUUCCCCUCUUAAUCUCGGAUUUUUUUCCUGCUGGACUAGGGUGUGCUUCCUGAGAACCUUCUCCAUCUUAGAAUUGAGUACCGUUGCUAUUAAGCCUCAGAAUCUGUAAGCAUUUGUCCCAGGUUGCCUGGUUUUCAUAGAUUUAAGCAUAGUGUAUUGGCAAAGGAUCAAAACUACGGGGCAGGCACAAAUGCUUUUCAGGGUCUGUCCCUAGAUAAAUCUGACAGGCGCCAUAUAAUGAUGACGGCCUGACACCCACUCACCCAAAAGAUAGGUUUUAUUAACAGCAAAACAACCAUCUGGAUUUCAGCCAACAUUACAGUGUUGGCACCGAAUGACUUCCAUUUGCCUGUCUAGACAAACCCCUCUAACAUUCAGGUACUUGGGGAAGUGAAAUGAGAAUUAAGUCAUAAAGGAGUAGGAGACUCUAGUCCACAAAUAUUACAAUAUAAUUCCCCCCAACUAUAUUAUUUCCCAACAGUCAAAACACACAAGUUGUAACACCUAAUAAAGCAUAUUUGAAAGAAGGGAAAGAUCUUCCUAUUUUCACAUGCCCAUUUAUCUUAUCUUUCUGCAUCAAGGUAUGCAAUCCUCAAGGUAUGAAGUUAUAUCUAAACCCAUGAAUGCCUAUAUGUACACUUUGCCUCCCAGCCAGAACACAGCUGAUGUACCUUGGGUGGCACCCCUCACUGGAACUCUUAGAUGACUCUUGACCUAGGUUUGGUGCCUGAUUGUUAUUAUCCUACUUAAUUUCUGAAGUCCUCAAAGAGUUUAAAAAAAAAUGGAUUUGUACACUUGGCUGAGCGGGUAUAUACAAUCACUUACUGUCAGCACUUGCAGAGUUGCCUCAAGAAAGAAUCUUUAGAUGCUGAGAAGCUUCUCAGUUAGAAGAGAAAGGAGAGAUGGCAGGAGCAAAUGAAGGCGAAGAAGACCUCCAAAUGAAACUGACGAAGCUGUUCAGUGGCUGGGGACACAGAUAAGCGCCUACGUGUAUAAAGGAUGCACUGGUUUAUGAGAAUAAAAUAGUUUUCUACAAAGUCCAUUAUUCAUGAAGCAUGCAUUUAGAACUGGGCCUGGAAGAAAGCUAUUGUAUGCAUUUUUAUGUUAUAUAUUGUAUCUAUAAUAGGAAGAUUGUUAGGAAAAUGAAGCCAACAGAAGACUUCAGAGAGCUUGGCUGGCCUUAGAGAUGGUCUGAUGGUGUUACACGUAACCUAAUGAGGCCCCAUGCUUCUUAGUACCUUGUGGUAUUCUCUUGAACAAACUGGGGCUAAGCAUGUAAAAGGAAGCUUCCUUUUGGUUACAAACUGUUACAUGAAGCCCAGCUUCAGUCGUGAUAAAAUGAUGGCAAACCGUUUUAUGGUUGUAUUUUUGUGCUUCUAUCACCUAAAACCAUGGAGGCAAUUAUUUUUAAGCAGAAGGAAGUAGGGGAGAUUAUAGCAGUGAUUUUUCACUAGCAGGGAAUUUUGUUCCCCAGGUGAUACUUGGCCAUGUUCAGACAUUUUUUGUCAUUGCACUGUGUCUGCACGUGUGCGGAUGUCACUGGUAGCUAGUGGGCAGAGGCCAAGGGCGCUGAAAUGCACAGGACAGUCCCCACAAGGAAGAAUUAUCCAGCCCUAAAUGUCAGUGGGGCUGCCGUGGGGAAACCCUCAAAGGAUGCACGCGACAUCACGAAAUCGAUAGAGUCUAAUCUCGGUCCUCAUCUUGUCAGACUAAUGACAAUGAAUCACUGCCUUUUGUGCCUCUGUUUCCCUAUUUGCAAAAUGGGGAUAAUGAACACGUUCUUUAUAAUAACAUCACGAGGAGUCAUGAAAUUAUAUAUGCAAAACACUCUGACUUCUUCAGAAGAAAGGGUCUCUAUAAAAUCAAAGCACAGUUAUGAUUAUGGCACUAUUAUGAGCUCAUGAAAUUGCGUCUUAAGAACUGUACUCCUCCCCCUCAAAAAAAAAAAAAAAAUUCCUCCAGGGAAAGAAAACAAACCAGAAUGAGCUCAUCAUGAUUACACCUGCCACACCAAAAAACAGACACUGUUCAGAGAAGCUAAAUUCUUUCCCUCCAGCAACGAAGCAAGCUGCGUCUGUAAUUAAGAUCUUAAUAAGGGGGGGACGGGAGGCUGGAUGCAGACGCCGCAGGCUUCUCUGAAGUGCAGAGCCAUCCCGCCAGGUUUCAACAAGAACAAUCGAAACACAGCCCCGCUCACUGCCUCGUGAGGUCUCAGGUGGUCUCAGACCAGCUCUCUGCAUGGUCUGUAUUUCAAAGGGCUUGCCUUCAUUUCUUCACUUCCGCAAGGAGAAAGAAAAGGACCGUCUUAUUACUUACAAGUGAGUGUGUGUGUGCUCAGUUGCCAAGUCGUGUUGACUCUUCGCAACCCCACGGACUGCAGCACUCCAGGGUGCCCUGUCCCUCACCACCUCCCGGAAUAAAAUGUGAUGUCGCAGAUAUCAUUUAGAAGUAAAUUAUGAAAAGUGUGCCAGAAUCCACUUUAGAAAAAAGAAGCCCCUAGGCAAUUUUCUGAUAAAAAGCUGGAAAAAGUCAGACAGAAAGCUGACCUAAGGCAAAAAGGAUAAUGCCCUGGACAGCCGAUUGAUCUUGAGAGCAGCUUGUGUUUAGCGUCCGGAACGACCAUGUAUAAACUUCCCAAGAUGGUCCCCGUUUCAAAUAUCCUUCCCUGGGUUAGACCAUCUGUCCCAUGUUGGGGUCUGUGAAACAUGAAUACGUACCCACAGAAGGGAAAUAUAUUUUAAACUAAAAAUAAAAGAUAGGCCUCCAAGUAUGUGCCUUGUUAAUGGAUCUGCCUUGGUUGAAUUUAGGAUACAGGAGAAAAAAAGACAGGUACUGAUAAGAAUCUUGUAUUUAGUCAAUGGACGUGUUCUCUCAUUGGCAAGGAAUCAAGAUCUAUUCCAAGGGCAUCUGGGCCUCUGCGGGACUGUCGAGCCGUCCAACUUCACCAUGGACGCCCCUGGGCUAACUGUGUCCUUAGCAUCCCUUUCCCGGCGCUCACUGCACUUAGCAGCUCUGAGUGGGAAAGGAUGGAGAAUCAGAGAAGAACACGGACGUUCUAUCCCAGAGGAGCACUAGAAGGGACGUGGAGAUGGUUUUCUGCCAGUGUUGUUUUCAUGGUCCUGAAGCAGCGCUGGGCCUCUGAGUCGUUUCCUGCUGACUCUAAGUCACACCAUGAAUGACGAGCAACAACAAGCAAACAAACAAAAAACCAGUGACAACAGACUAGAUCCUUGGCACGUCCUGUGAGGAGGCUGCAGAGCCUAGAAGUCCACUUUCCUGCCUCCGCAGACUGCUGGCUUGGCGGGUUAAGGUUAUUCAGGGGCUGAGAGAGGGAAGGCCAGCUCAUUCUUUCAGUAGAGUGCAGAGCCUGGGAACAGAGAAGCCUAGCCCUGAGUCAGCCCCAUCUUCUGUGGGCGUGAGGUUCUGAGUUCCGGGUAACACGCCGACUACCACAACUCAGUGAGACUACAGCUAAUUCAUACAAGAGACAGCACUGGGUUUCCACAUAACUAGAACAAGUAAGGAAAAAUACUGUCUAAAUACACAUUGCUUUAUUUAAAUAGAAAGAUCUGGUUCAAAUCUUAACCAUAUAUGCCAUUUGGUGAUCACAACUUAGAGUUUCACAAAUAAUCCCCCCUCCCCAACACACACAACUAAGAGUAAAGAAGGGCAUGAAACUCAAAUUCAAAAGAUGCUAUUAAGCAUUUUUGUGCUAUGCUUGCACUUUUAGGUACUCAGGGUUGCUAAAUCUUUACUUCUGGUAAGUAUAGAAAUCAACAUUCCACAUAAGGAACAAUUUUGGUAACAUCUUAUAACUAUUACCUUGACAUAUUAGAAAUAUCAGGAGGAAUUCUCAUCUGCAACGUACAUACCAAGAUCUACAAAGAAAUAAGAUGUCUUCAAAUCAGUAAACCCAGCCUUUGAAUAAGGAUCAUGAACCACCUACCUAAAUACCAUUGAGCACAAUUCAUGUACUAAAUUAACUGGGGAAGAGGCUGAGAGAAGGGACUAGUCUUUUUGUUUUAAAAAAGAAUAAACUGGAAUUUAGUGGUCCAUGAUGUGUGUGUGUGUUCUCAGUUGCUUAGUCGUUUCCGAUUCUUUGUGGCCCCAUGGACUAUAGUCCACCAGGCUCCUCUGUGCAUGGGAUUUCCCAGGCAAGAAUACUGGAGUAGAUUGCCAUUUCCUACCCCUGGAGAUCUUCCUGACCCAGGGACCAAACCCUGGUCCCUUGUGUCUCCUGCAUUGGCAGGCAAAUUCUUUACCACUGAGCUACCUGGGAGUCCCAGUCCAUGAUGAGACUAAGAAUAUGUAUUUAAAAACACUCCACUGGGAGCUUUAUUGGAUUGGCCCAAAAGUUCAUUUUAUUGGAAGAUAUAUGGAAAAACCCAAAUGAACUUUUGGCCAACCCAAUAUUAUCUCUAUGAUUAGCUGCCCCUCCCCCACCCCCUACCUCAACCAUGAAAAAUCACAGUCACAUGCUAUCACUGCUUAUAUUUUCUGGGCAGUCUGUUCCACCUUCCUCAAAGUGCAUGCCUCAAUUCACCUAGAUCACACUGUCUGCCUUUUGAAAGAACGGCUCUUUCCAGUGUAGAGUUUAAAAGGUUACCAACGAACCAUUUAUCUUAAAAUGAAGAUUCCUCAGGAAGACAGUCUUUUUCAGCUAAGCUGUAAUGAGUGAGCGUGAAAAAGCUGGCUUAAAACUCAACAUUCAAAAACCUAAGAUCAUGGCAUCCAGUACCAUCAUUUCAUGGAAAAUAGAUGGGGAAACAAUGGAAACAGUGACACUUUAUUUUCUUGGGUUCCAAAAUCACUGCACAUGGUGACUGCAGCCAUGAAAUUAAAAGACACUUGCUCCUUGGAAGAAAAGCUAUGACCAACCUAGGCAGCAUAUUAAAAUGCAGAGACACUACUUCGCCGACAAAGGUCCAUCUAGUCAAAGCUAUGAUUUUUCCAGUAGUCAUGUAUGGAUGUGAGAGUUGGACUACAGAGGAAGCUGAGAGCCAAAGAAUUGAUGCUUUUGAACUGUGGUGUUGGCAAAGACUCUUGAGAGUCCCUUGGACUGUAAGGAGAUCCAACCAGUCCAUCCUAAAGGAAAUCAGUCCUGAAUAUUAAUUGGAAGGACUGAUUGCUGAAGCUGAAACUCCAAUACUUUGGCUACUGGAUGCAAAGAACUGACUCAUCUGAAAAGACCCUGUUGCUGGGAAAGAUUGAAGGCAGGAGGAGAAGGGGGCAACAGAGGAUGAGAUGGUUGAAUGGCAUCACCAACUCAAUGGACAUGAGUUUGAGCAAGCUGUGGGAGUUGGUGACAGGGAGGCCUGGCGUGCUGCAGUCCAUGGGGUCGCAAAGAGUCUAACACGACUGGGUUCAGUGACUGAACUGAGCUGUAAUGUUCUCCAGACGUGUGGAGUCCUCCUUUAUUAGUAAGAAAUCCUGCAAGGAGAUAACUGGAAUGUUCAAAGUAAAUAAGAUGGAGGUGGGGUUGUUGACAAAGUAUAAACGGGUUUGUUUUUUUUUAGGGGGACCCCUUUUCCAUGCCCACGUUCUUUGCAAUCAUCCAUUGCCUAGGUAACUGGUAGCUAUUUUCUGCAUUUUAAAUUGAAAAGAGAGUAUUUCUUUCCAGUGGCCCCAUUUUGUUUAUCUUGGCAAGGAGGCUUGGUAAUUAAGUCUAUAUGUUACUGGAGGGCUGGGAUACCAGGGGCUGGGAUUUCAAACCGAUUUGUUUAGGUUCCUUUCUAAGCCUAAAGUGAUCUAAAAACAGAUCAGCAGCACCUCUAACUUUAUACCUCUGUCACUUUGACUGCAGUAGGAUAAGGGAUGUGGUUCACCCCGAGCCCUACUCACCUUCUGUAUCAAAUCCACCUUUGAUUCUUUAGUCAGGACUUUUCUCUUUUUUUCAGUAAUAUUUUCGUUAUGGAAAAACAAUUCUAGGGAAGGUUUUCUCUUACAUUUUAACCUAUAUAGUGCAUCUAUCAAUAUACCUAUAUAAGAGUAUAUUCUGAAUAUUUUAUAUAUCUUAUCAAUGUGUCAUACCAUGGCUGCCAUUUUUAAAUGGCUACUAUGUGCUAGAAACAGAUGAUUUUCAUAUAUUAUAUCCUUACAACUAUCAAAUGAGACAGGUACUAUUACUCCCAUUUUAUAAAAGAGGAAAUGGAGGCUUGCCUAAAAUUAUACUGUUAAAAAGCAACAAAAGUGGAAUUUAAAACCAAAUCUAUAUUCUUUCUAAUAGGCCAUAUGGGGGAAACUCUUUUAAUAGCUAUUUGUGUAUUGCAUAUAAUCCAAUAUUCAAUUCAAUGUUUGUUGAGUACCUACAACGAGCAAGGGCCUAUAACCUUAGGAAUAUCAAAUCUUAUUAGUGACAAUGAAGAUACCAAAGCACUAAUAUAUUAGCAAGUGGGGACACAGGUGUGUCGGUACACCCCUAUGUCUGACGUCUGCAUUUCUACAAGACACAACCAGGCCCAUGGAAUAUUUAAUAGUACUCGAUUAUCUUAACACAGUAAAUAGGGUUUUGACAUAAUCCAAGUUUUGAGUCCACACUAUUCUUUCAACCUCUAAUGGGCAUCUACUUAUGUAAGGAGAGCUGGGGCCUGCUAGAACUGUCUAUUUCCAAUGGAGCCAUGGUAAAUACCUCACCAUGGAAAAUAUCUCACUUAGGCUUUAGAAUGAUCCACGAGGCCAUAUUUACCCUACUUUGGUGGUGGUGGUGCUCACUCCCUCCGUCAUGUCUGACUCUUUGCGACCCUGUGGACUGUGGCCCGCCAGGCUCCUCUGUCCCUGGGAUUUCCCAGGCAAGAGUACUGGAGUGGGUUGCCAUUUCCUCCUCCAGGGGAUCUUCCCGACCCAGGGAUUGAACCUGAGUCUCCUGCAUUUGAGGUGGAUUCUUUACCGCUGAGCCACCCUACAGAUAAGAAAGCUGAGGCUCCCAGAACUUAACUUGCCCAAGGUUACAGAGCAUCGAGUCACAGGAAACAGAAAUGCCUUUCCCCAAAUCUCACACUCUUCCUUGCUUCUACUGCAAGAACACAUAAGACCAAAUCCCUGCCCAGGUCACAACACAUAGCAGAUCCUGGUUUAUUCAAGGACUUGCCUGUCAAUCUGCCUCUACAUACAGAUAAAGGGUGAGUCUCUCACAUUGAGUGGGGCUUACCUAAAGCUGGACAGCCCCCGUGGGCAACCUUGGUGAGUUCCAGGUAUCAUUUAGAUAGUGAUAUGAUUGAAAGGGGUUAAUGAGUAAGGCAGUGCUAACAGAGUCGGGCAGAGGUGAAAAAUAGAAAGCCUAUUGUAGCGAUGACAGGAGACAAAGGUGUGGGCUUCUGAUUGUUGUCUAGAGUGGAGGGAUGAGGAGACUUGACUUGUAGCAAGUACAGACGAACCAAGUCACGCAGGCACAAAGAGCAAGGAGCCAAUGAAUGGAAGCAGCAAGGGACCAAGAUUUUCCAUAGCCGAUUCAGAAGAGAGGAGGAAGACGGGGGUACAGAGAGCGCUUUAAGUGUGUGUCACGUCUGUGUGGGUGGGGGGAGGCCAGCCUGAUAGAAGUCUGGUGCUGGAGAAGUAUAAUGAAUGCUUGAAUGAAAAAAAUGAGAGACGAUGAGGUCAUAAGGGCACAAAAGGGGAGGGAAUUGGCAAAGAGGCUUGAAAAGUAGAGAGGAAGUUUCUUUAGAAGUGGGGCGGGGUGGGGGGUUGGUGGUGCAGACAGGAAGCCACUGAUGAAUUCUUAGAAGAGGACUGAUGUAUAUUCCAGCAAAGAAGGGAUGCUUAAGGAAUCUUUGUUACGUGCAUCUUGCAGACUUGGUGCUGAGAACACCUUCAGUUCCGUAAAGACUUUGAUCUCCAAGUAGGAAUAAACACAAAUGCAUGGGAAAACAAGCUGCUGAGCGUCCUGACACUCUUUUGAGUUUCGGAGACAAUAAACCGGCUGGAGCCUUCAGACCCUCCGUCCAUUCAAACGCCAAUGAAAGUGUUUCCAAGAAAUGGCAUAAAAACAGAAAAAGAGACACAGAAAUACAGAACAGACUUUUGAACUCUGUGGGAGAAUGUGAGGGUGGGAUAUUUCAAAAGAACAGCAUGUAUACUAUCUAUGGUGAAACAGAUCACCAGCCCAGGUGGGAUGCACGAGACAAGUGCUCCGGCCUGGUGCACUGGGAAGACCCAGAGGAAUCGGGUGGAGAGGGAGGUGGGAGGGGGGAUCGGGAUGGGAAAUACAUGUAAAUCCAUGACUGAUUCAUAUCAAUGUAUGACAAAACCCACUGAAAUGUGAAGUAAUUAGCCUCCAACUAAUAAAAAAAAAAAAACAAAAAAAAAACCACGUAAAGAAAUGGCAUAUACUCAGUUGGUUCUGAAUCCAACAUCCUUUAUGGGUAUCAAAAUCCUCCAUCAUCAGCUGUAUAAUA
This is a long non-coding RNA of Dama dama (fallow deer), 10144 nucleotides long. RefSeq lists it as uncharacterized. The record is from RefSeq and is a predicted model, not a curated record. The transcript is spliced from 2 exons. NCBI's taxonomy places the organism in Eukaryota, Metazoa, Chordata, Mammalia, Artiodactyla, Cervidae.